CGAGGUAGCAAUACCUAGCGGCAGACGGGUGCGUAACAUGUGGGAAUCUGUCUUUUGGUUCGGAACAACACGAGGAAACUUGUGCUAAUACCGGAUAAGUCUUUACGGAGAAAGCUUUAUGCACCAUUGGAUGAGCCCGCACUUGAUUAGCUAGUUGGUAAGGUAAUGGCUUACCAAGGCAACGAUCAAUAGCUGUUCUUAGAGGAAGACCAGCCACAUUGGGACUGAGACACGGCCCAAACCCC
Molecule: ribosomal RNA, 245 nt
Filed under: uncultured bacterium
Lineage: Bacteria
Description: partial 16S ribosomal RNA
Rfam family: Bacterial small subunit ribosomal RNA
Source: RNAcentral